CAGUCGCCGCGGUAAUACGUAGGGUGCAAGCGUUAAUCGGAAUUACUGGGCGUAAAGCGUGCGUAGGCGGCUUUUUAAGUCGGAUGUGAAAUCCCUGAGCUUAACUUAGGAAUUGCAUUCGAUACUGGGAAGCUAGAGUAUGGGAGAGGAUGGUAGAAUUCCAGGUGUAGCGGUGAAAUGCGUAGAGAUCUGGAGGAAUACCGAUGGCGAAGGCAGCCAUCUGGCCUAAUACUGACGCUGAGGUACGAAAGCAUGGGGAGCAAACAGGAUUAGAUACCCCUGUAGUCCAUGUCUCUUAUAC
RNAcentral lists this ribosomal RNA (301 nucleotides) under uncultured bacterium. RNAcentral describes it as "partial 16S ribosomal RNA". It matches the Rfam family "Bacterial small subunit ribosomal RNA", at positions 509 to 807 of the family's 1533-position model. The record is from RNAcentral.